AGCCUGUUUUUUUUCCACAGAUAUAUCCUCCUGUCUUUUCCUGAAACAUGUGAAUAGCCAGUCUCCAGACUCAGCACAGAGCCUUUCUUCAGACAAUCCUAUCUGAGUUGGGUCCACAAGGAAGGAGAAGGCAAUCCAGAAGCAUUUAACAUGCCAGAUCUGAAUUGUCCAAAGUAUCUGCUGGAGUAUGGCCUCUGAACCCAUAUCUCUUGGUGACCUAAACUGUUGUAUGGCAAAUCCUGACUUGAUCGAAUUGGCAACAGAGUCUCAAGAAUUCUUUAAGUACCAACAACCACUGAUUUCAGUAUCAGCUUGCCUGCGUGACCUUUAAGGGUUAUAGGAACACCUUUUAUGCCUCCUUUCUCUUAUUACUAGGAGAAGAUUUCAAUCAUUACACAUCUUUAUAAACCACCUGGAGAUGCAUGUGAGACAUAAAUGCAAAAGUAAUAUUAUUGGUAUCAUAUUAUUAUUUUUCCCAAGGAAAUCGCUGUUUUCCACAUAGCAGAGCACAUGACUUCUUGUUUAUUGUGUAUUAAUAGCCUUGUGUUGUGAUGGUAAGUAGGACACAGAUACAGCUUUUCAGUGAUGUACAGUACUCUUUCUUAUCUUUAAUUAAAUGCUAUUCCCUUGUACUGGAACGUAUUCUGUGAUUACACAUGUUUACAGUCUCUAAGUAACUUACCAUCAAAUACACUAAUGAAAAUCAGUGCCCCAAAGUGACUUGUGUGUUUUGUCUUGUACUAACCAACACCUCUCUCAUAUUUUAUUUUAUUUUUUAAAUUAUUAGUUCCAGUUUCCAUUUUAAAAAUUAAGGGGUUGCAUUAAACACUUUCAUAUGAAUUUCCUCCAACCAUCUCUGCUUUUGAUCUAGGGACAUGUAUCUAUCUAGCUUUCUGCCCUUCCCCAGAACAGUAACCCCUGGGGAUACCAUAGAGCAUAGAGAUGAUACAAUUUAAUAAAGUCACAAUAAAACAUCCAA
Molecule: long non-coding RNA, 979 nt
Organism: Pseudopipra pipra
Lineage: Eukaryota; Metazoa; Chordata; Aves; Passeriformes; Pipridae
Exons: 3
Source: RefSeq, a predicted model, not a curated record